RNAcentral lists this ribosomal RNA (254 nucleotides) under uncultured bacterium. RNAcentral's name for it is "partial 16S ribosomal RNA". It matches the Rfam family "Bacterial small subunit ribosomal RNA", at positions 524 to 776 of the family's 1533-position model. The record is from RNAcentral.
UACGUAGGGAGCGAGCGUUGUCCGGAUUUAUUGGGCGUAAAGAGCUCGUAGGCGGUUUGGUAAGUCGGGUGUGAAAGCUCCGGGCUCAACUCGGAGAGGUCACUCGAUACUGCCAUGACUUGAGUCCGGUAGGGGGGUGUGGAAUUCCCAGUGUAGCGGUGAAAUGCGUAGAGAUGUGGAGGAACACCGAUGGCGAAGGCAGCCUCCUGGGCCAACACUGACGCUCAUGCACGAAAGCGUGGGGAGCAAACAGG